This is a non-coding RNA of Vicia faba (fava bean), 276 nucleotides long. The record is from the annotation of a GenBank genome assembly. NCBI's taxonomy places the organism in Eukaryota, Viridiplantae, Streptophyta, Magnoliopsida, Fabales, Fabaceae.
AUGCUCCUCCUUGCAAAAGACACGGUGACGCGACUAUUACUGUUAUCAUCACCGCCCAUUAAACAAGGUGCUUCAGCGGCAAAAGCAAAAGUACACGACGAGGAGGUGACUUUGACGAAGACGAAAUCCAACGAAAGUGGAGUUGCAAUUGCAGUUCGAUUAUCAUUCUCUCACGCUUCUCCUUUCUUUAGGUUCACUUAUGCUUCCCCGUCUCUAUGCUUUCAGUCUCGUGCGCGAAUUGAUGUUGUGGAGAUCGUAUCGUUGUUACAGAUUUAA